AGGGAACAUUGUAAUGAAUUAAAGAACUGUUCACACGGCUGAAAGAAAACAAGGUUAUGGAGAAAACAUGUACCAUGCUGCGUCCCAUUGCCUUGUAUGGUGGCUGUCGCUGCUGAGUAAGCGUUGUCUUCCUCCUUCAUCCACCAAGGAAACACUAUGGUGUGCCUGAAUACAUGAGCUCCACAACACUUUGCUGACAUAAGGGUUGCCCCCAUUUUAAAGGUACAAAAAGCUGAGGCAUAGCAACUUACCCAUCUGCAGCCAAGUCUGGAGUUCAGCCCAGGACUCCUGACCAUGAAUCCAGCGCUUGAACCCAGAUGAUCACCCUCAGGGUCACAGAAGAAAGGCUUACCUGUGGCUUGCUAUCUGAAGAAAGGUUUGGACGCACACUCCUAUAACCCUUGGCAGCCAGAGAAGAUGGCUGGGAAUCCCCAUUGGCAUCAGUGUUAGACGACGACCUCCAAUCAUCUAUGACGGGAAAGAAAACUCAGAUCACAGAAGAUUCCUUCCAGCUACAGGAUAAGUGAAAGGGGGGGACUCUUUUCUUCCUUUUGUUUUUCCAUUUGUUUUUCCCAGGCAACAAGAAAUAAUUCCAAUAAUGCAGCAGAAGUAACAGCAUAAGCAGACAAUG
This is a long non-coding RNA of Pseudopipra pipra, 631 nucleotides long. RefSeq lists it as uncharacterized. Lineage: Eukaryota; Metazoa; Chordata; Aves; Passeriformes; Pipridae. The record is from RefSeq and is a predicted model, not a curated record. The transcript is spliced from 2 exons.